This 94-nucleotide ribosomal RNA is filed under the name Gongora armeniaca. RNAcentral's name for it is "5.8S ribosomal RNA". It matches the Rfam family "5.8S ribosomal RNA", at positions 1 to 89 of the family's 154-position model. From Rfam's summary of the family: 5.8S ribosomal RNA (5.8S rRNA) is a component of the large subunit of the eukaryotic ribosome. It is transcribed by RNA polymerase I as part of the 45S precursor that also contains 18S and 28S rRNA. Functionally, it is thought that 5.8S rRNA may be involved in ribosome translocation. The record is from RNAcentral. Lineage: Eukaryota; Viridiplantae; Streptophyta; Magnoliopsida; Asparagales; Orchidaceae.
GACACGACUCUCGGCAAUGGAUAUCUCGGCUCUUGCAUCGAUGAAGAGCGCAGCGAAAUGCGAGACGUGGUGCGAAUUGCAGAAUCCCGCGAAC